RNAcentral lists this ribosomal RNA (404 nucleotides) under uncultured eukaryote. RNAcentral describes it as "bacterial SSU rRNA". It matches the Rfam family "Eukaryotic small subunit ribosomal RNA", at positions 651 to 1047 of the family's 1831-position model. The record is from RNAcentral.
CAAUUGGUUGUUAUAUCUCCACUAAUAAGCGGAGAGGGGUAAAACUCUCAAAGUAAGUUAUGUGGGUCAAGGUAUGGUGAUUAAUUGGAGUUCUAGUUAAUUUACUUUGAGAAAAUUAGAGUGUUUAAAGCAGCCUCUUGGGGCACUGAAUACAUUAGCAUGGGAUAAUAAAAUAGGAUCUUCACAAUAUAUUUUAUUGGUUUAAAUUGGAUAUGAAGAUAAUGAUUAAUAGGGACAGUUGGGGGUAUUCAUAUUGGGUGGUUAGCGGUGAAAUGCUCGGAUCCAUUCAAGAUGAACUAAAGCGAAGGCAUUUACCAAGGAUGUUUUCAUUAAUCAAGAACGAAAGUUAAGGGAUCGAAGACGAUUAGAUACCGUCGUAGUCUUAACUAUAAACUAUGCCGACC